AAUCACAAUUGUCUCAGGGCGACGUUAAGCACCGGACAGAGCCACGGUGCGGCUGCAAAAUAGCCCCCGGGAGGAACUCGUUUUGGUGGAACAUGUGUACGUUCAAAGGUGGUUUUAAU
This is a long non-coding RNA of Etheostoma cragini (Arkansas darter), 119 nucleotides long. RefSeq lists it as uncharacterized. The transcript has 3 exons. NCBI's taxonomy places the organism in Eukaryota, Metazoa, Chordata, Actinopteri, Perciformes, Percidae. The record is from RefSeq and is a predicted model, not a curated record.